Molecule: long non-coding RNA, 490 nt
Organism: Labeo rohita (rohu)
Lineage: Eukaryota; Metazoa; Chordata; Actinopteri; Cypriniformes; Cyprinidae
Exons: 4
Source: RefSeq, a predicted model, not a curated record
AUCUUACAUCCAGAGGGUGGCAGUAUAGUGCGACGCUAACUGCCAUGAAACCCCAAAGAAGAAGACGCGCGCAAAGAUAUUUGAAUCUCUGCACACCUGUAUGACCCCCUGCGAUGUUUUUCUUGGAUUGGGUUUUGACAGAAGGACGACUUGCCUUUUCAACAGCGGGUAAAGGUCCUUAAUGAAAGGUGUGUUUUGUGUUCCUGCCAAGGUGCUUUACUCACAGUAGAAUGAAAUUGUUGAAAAGAAGAGGGAGUGUCUCCUCAGGGCACUUUGUAUCUAUCUAAAUGAAGAUCCAAGCAGUCUCUUCCAAGAGUAUCUGGAUUCAGAUGGCUGUGCUGCCCAGAGAGACCUUGAACAAGUUGUCUUUGGCGUCUACAGCAUUAAUGCUGAGGGAGGAGAUGCCACCACCACUCCAUUUGAUGUUGGAAAAACUAUUUUCUUUUGUAAAACAGAAUUUGUGUUGUUAAUAACUUCUUGUGUUGGUGAA